AAGCGAAACCGCUCCGGUUGGCCGGGGCGGUCUGCCCAGCGUGGUGGCUGGGUACUGACGAGCAGCCGAGG
Molecule: non-coding RNA, 71 nt
Filed under: Pseudomonas berkeleyensis
Lineage: Bacteria; Pseudomonadati; Pseudomonadota; Gammaproteobacteria; Pseudomonadales; Pseudomonadaceae
Source: RNAcentral